This 305-nucleotide ribosomal RNA is filed under the name uncultured bacterium. Its description in RNAcentral is "bacterial SSU rRNA". It matches the Rfam family "Bacterial small subunit ribosomal RNA", at positions 333 to 655 of the family's 1533-position model. The record is from RNAcentral.
UUUUGCCUACGGGACGCAGCAGUGGGGGAUAUUGCACAAUGGGGGGAACCCUGAUGCAGCGACGCCGCGUGGGUGAAGGAGCGUUUCGGCGCGUAAAGCCCUAUCGGCAGGGAAGAAGGUGACGGUAUCUAACCAGAAAGCCACGGCUAACUACGUGCCAGCAGCCGCGGUAAUACGUAGGUGGCAAGCGUUAUCCGGAUUUAUUGGGCGUAAAGGGAACGCAGGCGGUCUUUUAAGUCUGAUGUGAAAGCCUUCGGCUUAACCGGAGGAGUGCAUUGGGAACUGGGAGACUUGAGUGCAGAAGA